CAGGAUGAACGCUGGCGGCGUGCUAAUACAUGCAAGUCGAACGCUUUGUGGUUCAACUGAUUUGAAGAGCUUGCUCAGAUAUGACGAUGGACAUUGCAAAGAGUGGCGAACGGGUGAGUAACACGUGGGAAACCUACCUCUUAGCAGGGGAUAACAUUUGGAAACAGAUGCUAAUACCGUAUAACAAUAGCAACCGCAUGGUUGCUACUUAAAAGAUGGUUCUGCUAUCACUAAGAGAUGGUCCCGCGGUGCAUUAGUUAGUUGGUGAGGUAAUGGCUCACCAAGACGAUGAUGCAUAGCCGAGUUGAGAGACUGAUCGGCCACAAUGGGACUGAGACACGGCCCAUACUCCUACGGGAGGCAGCAGUAGGGAAUCUUCCACAAUGGGCGAAAGCCUGAUGGAGCAACGCCGCGUGUGUGAUGAAGGGUUUCGGCUCGUAAAACACUGUUGUAAGAGAAGAAUGACAUUGAGAGUAACUGUUCAAUGUGUGACGGUAUCUUACCAGAAAGGAACGGCUAAAUACGUGCCAGCAGCCGCGGUAAUACGUAUGUUCCAAGCGUUAUCCGGAUUUAUUGGGCGUAAAGCGAGCGCAGACGGUUAUUUAAGUCUGAAGUGAAAGCCCUCAGCUCAACUGAGGAAUUGCUUUGGAAACUGGAUGACUUGAGUGCAGUAGAGGAAAGUGGAACUCCAUGUGUAGCGGUGAAAUGCGUAGAUAUAUGGAAGAACACCAGUGGCGAAGGCGGCUUUCUGGACUGUAACUGACGUUGAGGCUCGAAAGUGUGGGUAGCAAACAGGAUUAGAUACCCUGGUAGUCCACACCGUAAACGAUGAGUGCUAGGUGUUUGAGGGUUUCCGCCCUUAAGUGCCGCAGCUAACGCA
RNAcentral lists this ribosomal RNA (880 nucleotides) under Weissella cibaria. RNAcentral describes it as "bacterial SSU rRNA". It matches the Rfam family "Bacterial small subunit ribosomal RNA", at positions 25 to 859 of the family's 1533-position model. Lineage: Bacteria; Bacillati; Bacillota; Bacilli; Lactobacillales; Lactobacillaceae. The record is from RNAcentral.